GGGCCCGCACAAGCGGUGGAGUAUGUGGUUUAAUUCGAUGCAACGCGAAGAACCUUACCAGGGUUUGACAUCCUGCGAAUCUCUUGGAAACAGGAGAGUGCCUUCGGGAACGCAGUGACAGGUGGUGCAUGGCUGUCGUCAGCUCGUGUCGUGAGAUGUUGGGUUAAGUCCCGCAACGAGCGCAACCCACAUCCCUAGUUGCCAGCAGUUCGGCUGGGCACUCUAUGGAAACUGCCCGUGAUAAGCGGGAGGAAGGUGUGGAUGACGUCAAGUCCUCAUGGCCCUUACGGGUUGGGCUACACACGUACUACAAUGGCAACUACAGUGGGAAGCAAGACCGCGAGGUGGAGCAAAUCCCAAAAGUUGCCUCAGUUCGGAUUGUACUCUGCAACUCGAGUACAUGAAGUUGGAAUCGCUAGUAAUCG
Molecule: ribosomal RNA, 425 nt
Filed under: uncultured bacterium
Lineage: Bacteria
Description: bacterial SSU rRNA
Rfam family: Bacterial small subunit ribosomal RNA
Source: RNAcentral